GAUGAACGCUGGCGGCGUGCCUAAUACAUGCAAGUCGAGCGAACAGACGAGGAGCUUGCUCCUCUGACGUUAGCGGCGGACGGGUAAUUAACAGGUGGAUACCCGACCGUUAGGACGGGGAAAACUUCGGGAAACCGGAGCUAAUACGGGAUAAUAUAUUGAACCGCAUGGUUCAAUAGUGAAGGACGGUUUUGCUGUCACUUUUAGAUGGAUCCGCGCCGCAUUAGCUAGUUGGUAAGGUAACGGCUUACCAAGGCAACGAUGCGUAGCCGACCUGAGAGGGUGAUCGGCCACACUGGAACUGAGACACGGUCCAGACUCCUACGGGAGGCAGCAGUAGGGAAUCUUCCGCAAUGGGCGAAAGCCUGACGGAGCAACGCCGCGUGAGUGAUGAAGGUCUUCGGAUCGUAAAACUCUGUUAUUAGGGAAGAACAAAUGUGUAAGUAACUAUGCACGUCUUGACGGUACCUAAUCAGAAAGCCACGGCUAACUACGUG
This 497-nucleotide ribosomal RNA is filed under the name uncultured bacterium. Its description in RNAcentral is "partial 16S ribosomal RNA". It matches the Rfam family "Bacterial small subunit ribosomal RNA", at positions 28 to 507 of the family's 1533-position model. The record is from RNAcentral.